This 253-nucleotide ribosomal RNA is filed under the name uncultured bacterium. RNAcentral's name for it is "partial 16S ribosomal RNA". It matches the Rfam family "Bacterial small subunit ribosomal RNA", at positions 524 to 776 of the family's 1533-position model. The record is from RNAcentral.
GACAGAGGUCCCGAGCGUUAGGCGGAAUCACUGGGCUUAAAGCGUGUGUAGGCGGAUCUGUAAGUAUCUUGUGAAAUCCCACGGCUUAACCGUGGAACUGCUCGGUAUACUGCGGAUCUUGAGCCACCUAGGGGCAACCGGAACAAACGGUGGAGCGGUGAAAUGCGUAGAUAUCGUUUGGAACGCCAAUGGUGAAAACAGGUUGCUGGGGGUGUGCUGACGCUGAGACACGAAAGCGAGGGGAGCAAACGGG